Molecule: ribosomal RNA, 1404 nt
Filed under: uncultured bacterium
Lineage: Bacteria
Description: 16S ribosomal RNA
Rfam family: Bacterial small subunit ribosomal RNA
Source: RNAcentral
AGAGUUUGAUCCUGGCUCAGGAUGAACGCUAGCGGCAGGCUUAACACAUGCAAGUCGAGGGGCAGCGGGGAGGAAGCUUGCUUUCUCCGCCGGCGACCGGCGCACGGGGUGAGUAACACGUAUGCAACCUGCCCCUGUCAGGGGGGACAACCCGCCGAAAGGCGGGCUAAACCCGCGUACAUGCCACCGGGGCAUCCCGGAGGCAGGAAAGGCUUCGGCCGGACAGGGAUGGGCAUGCGGCGCAUUAGGCAGUAGGCGGGGUAACGGCCCACCUAACCGACGAUGCGUAGGGGUUCUGAGAGGAAGGUCCCCCACACUGGUACUGAGACACGGACCAGACUCCUACGGGAGGCAGCAGUGAGGAAUAUUGGUCAAUGGUCGGGAGACUGAACCAGCCAAGCCGCGUGAGGGAGGAAGGUACAGAGUAUCGUAAACCUCUUUUGUCAGGGAACAAAGGCGGGGACGUGUCCCCGGAUGAGUGUACCUGAAGAAAAAGCAUCGGCUAACUCCGUGCCAGCAGCCGCGGUAAUACGGAGGAUGCGAGCGUUAUCCGGAUUUAUUGGGUUUAAAGGGUGCGCAGGCGGUCUGUUAAGUCAGCGGUCAAAGCCCGGGGCUCAACCCCGGCCCGCCGUUGAAACUGGCAGUCUCGAGUUGGAGAGAAGUAUGCGGAAUGCGCGGUGUAGCGGUGAAAUGCAUAGAUAUCGCGCAGAACUCCGAUUGCGAAGGCAGCAUGCCGGCUCCACACUGACGCUGAGGCACGAAAGCGUGGGUAUCGAACAGGAUUAGAUACCCUGGUAGUCCACGCAGUAAACGAUGAAUGCUGGCUGUCCGGGGGGAUUGACCCCUGGGUGGCGAAGCGAAAGCGAUAAGCAUUCCACCUGGGGAGUACGCCGGCAACGGUGAAACUCAAAGGAAUUGACGGGGGCCCGCACAAGCGGAGGAACAUGUGGUUUAAUUCGAUGAUACGCGAGGAACCUUACCCGGGCUCAAACGUAGAAUGACAGACGGUGAAAGCCGUUCUCCCUUCGGGGCAGUCUACGAGGUGCUGCAUGGUUGUCGUCAGCUCGUGCCGUGAGGUGUCGGCUUAAGUGCCAUAACGAGCGCAACCCCCAUCUACAGUUGCUAACAGGUAAAGCUGAGGACUCUGUGGAGACUGCCGGCGCAAGCUGUGAGGAAGGCGGGGAUGACGUCAAAUCAGCACGGCCCUUACGUCCGGGGCGACACACGUGUUACAAUGGCAGGUACAGCGGGAAGCCAUAUGGCGACAUAGAGCGGAACCCGAAAACCUGUCUCAGUUCGGAUUGGAGUCUGCAACUCGACUCCAUGAAGCUGGAUUCGCUAGUAAUCGCGCAUCAGCUACGGCGCGGUGAAUACGUUCCCGGGCCUUGCACACACCGCCCGUCA